CCUACGGGAGGCAGCAGUGAGGAAUAUUGGUCAAUGGGCGAGAGCCUGAACCAGCCAAGUCGCGUGAGGGAGUACUGCCCUAUGGGUUGUAAACCUCUUUUGUCGGGGAGCAAAAGCCGGACGGGUCCGGCUGUGAGAGUACCCGAAGAAAAAGCAUCGGCUAACUCCGUGCCAGCAGCCGCGGUAAUACGGAGGAUGCGGGCGUUAUCCGGAUUUAUUGGGUUUAAAGGGUGCGCAGGCGGAUUUUUAAGUCAGCGGUAAAAUCGUGGGGCUCAACCCCAUCCAGCCGUUGAAACUGGGGAUCUAGAGUGUGCGAGAGGUAUGCGGAAUGCGUGGUGUAGCGGUGAAAUGCAUAGAUAUCACGCAGAACCCCGAUUGCGAAGGCAGCAUACCGGUGCACAACUGACGCUCAGGCACGAAAGCGUGGGUAUCGAACAGGAUUAGAUACCCCUGUAGUC
RNAcentral lists this ribosomal RNA (458 nucleotides) under uncultured bacterium. RNAcentral describes it as "partial 16S ribosomal RNA". It matches the Rfam family "Bacterial small subunit ribosomal RNA", at positions 338 to 795 of the family's 1533-position model. The record is from RNAcentral.